UUUGGAUGUAAAUUAUUUUUAACCUGAGUAGUAUUAGUUACGAUCUUGAAACUUAAAGAAUUUGGCGGUAUUUUAGUCUAUUUAGAGGAAUCUGUUCCUUAAUCGAUAAUCCGCGUUGAACCUUACCAAGAAUUUUGUAUGUAUACCGCCGUUUAUUUGAGAAUCUUUUUAGAGUUAUAUAAAUUUUCUAAAUUUGUUUUAUAAAGUUUAUUUCAGGUCAAGGUGCAGCUUUAUAUUUUGGUGGUGAUGGAUUACAUUUAAAUUUAUUAUUGGAUUAUUAUUUGUAAUUUGUGAUAUUAAAUUGGAUUUAAUAGUAAUUUUUUAUAGAUUGUAAAAAUGAUUUUAGCUCUAUAAUAUGU
This 359-nucleotide ribosomal RNA is filed under the name Celatoblatta shelfordi. RNAcentral describes it as "partial small subunit ribosomal RNA". The record is from RNAcentral. Lineage: Eukaryota; Metazoa; Arthropoda; Insecta; Blattodea; Blattidae.